RNAcentral lists this ribosomal RNA (418 nucleotides) under uncultured fungus. RNAcentral describes it as "eukaryotic LSU rRNA". The stretch from base 1 to 125 matches the Rfam family "5.8S ribosomal RNA", at positions 30 to 154 of the family's 154-position model. The record is from RNAcentral. Lineage: Eukaryota; Fungi.
GCAUCGAUGAAGAACGCAGCGAAACGCGAUAGGUAAUGUGAAUUGCAGAAUUCCGUGAAUCAUCGAAUCUUUGAACGCACCUUGCGCUCCAUGGCAUUCCGUGGAGCAUGCCUGUUUGAGUGCCGCGAAAUCUCCCACCCCUAGCGGUUGCCGCAAGGCGCCGCCGGGCGGCGGGGUUGGUUGGGUGCCGCUGCCUGGGCUUUGGCCCAGGCUCGCCCGAAAUGCAUGAGCGCUUAGCACUCGCACCGUCUCGAGGGAAGGCGGCGGAGCUGGCAUCUGCGCAUGGCAUGAUACGUCAUUUGCUGUGUGGCAGCCCAGCGACCCGAGAGUGUGUGUGCGCUANUACACGCCCUUUCAUUUCUGGUCUCAAAUCAGGUAGGGAUACCCGCUGAACUUAAGCAUAUCAAUAAGCGGAGGA